RNAcentral lists this ribosomal RNA (487 nucleotides) under uncultured bacterium. RNAcentral describes it as "partial 16S ribosomal RNA". It matches the Rfam family "Bacterial small subunit ribosomal RNA", at positions 28 to 507 of the family's 1533-position model. The record is from RNAcentral.
GACGAACGCUGGCGGCGUGCUUAACACAUGCAAGUCGAACGGAAAGGCCUAGCUUGCUGGGUACUCGAGUGGCGAACGGGUGAGUAACACGUGGGUGAGUUGCCCCUGGCUGUGGGUUAAGCCUGGGAAACUGGGUCUAAUACCGGAUAUUCAUUUUUCCGCGCCUGGGGAUUUGUGGGAAGCUUUUGCGUUUGGGGAUGGGCCCGCGGCGUAUCAGCUUGGUGGGGGGGUAAUGGCCUACCAAGUCGACGCCCGGUAGCCGAACGGAGAGGACGAUCGCCGACAUGGGGAGGUGGACGCCGACCAGGCGCCUGCGAGAGGGACCAGUGUGCAAUGGUAGGCAGUGGGGGCAAAUCUUGUCCAGUGAGCGCGCGCGUGAUAAAGAGGCGCUGCGUGAGGGAAGCCGGCUUUCUCGGGGAAAACCUCUUUCAGCUCAGACGACGCGCAAGUGACGGUAGCGGAAGAAGAAGCACCGGCUAACUACGUG